AACGAACGCUGGCGGCAGGCCUAACACAUGCAAGUCGAGCGGACAUCUUCGGAUGUUAGCGGCGGACGGGUGAGUAACGCGUGGGAACGUGCCCUUUGCUUCGGAAUAGCCUCGGGAAACUGGGAGUAAUACCGGAUGUACCCUUUGGGGGAAAGAUUUAUCGGCAAAGGAUCGGCCCGCGUUGGAUUAGGUAGUUGGUGGGGUAAUGGCCUACCAAGCCGACGAUCCAUAGCUGGUUUGAGAGGAUGAUCAGCCACACUGGGACUGAGACACGGCCCAGACUCCUACGGGAUGCAGCAGUGGGGGAUCUUAGACAAUGGGGGAAACCCUGAUCUAGCCAUGCCGCGUGAGCGAUGAAGGCCUUAGGGUUGUAAAGCUCUUUCACCGGGGAAGAUAAUGACGGUACCCGGAGAAGAAGCCCCGGCUAACUCCGUG
RNAcentral lists this ribosomal RNA (435 nucleotides) under uncultured bacterium. RNAcentral describes it as "partial 16S ribosomal RNA". It matches the Rfam family "Bacterial small subunit ribosomal RNA", at positions 29 to 507 of the family's 1533-position model. The record is from RNAcentral.